UGGGGAAUUUUGGACAAUGGGCGAAAGCCUGAUCCAGCAAUGCCGCGUGUGUGAAGAAGGCCUUCGGGUUGUAAAGCACUUUUGUCCGGAAAGAAAUCCUUGGCUCUAAUACAGUCGGGGGAUGACGGUACCGGAAGAAUAAGCACCGGCUAACUACGUGCCAGCAGCCGCGGUAAUACGUAGGGUGCAAGCGUUAAUCGGAAUUACUGGGCGUAAAGCGUGCGCAGGCGGUUUGCUAAGACCGAUGUGAAAUCCCCGGGCUCAACCUGGGAACUGCAUUGGUGACUGGCAGGCUAGAGUAUGGCAGAGGGGGGUAGAAUUCCACGUGUAGCAGUGAAAUGCGUAGAGAUGUGGAGGAAUACCGAUGGCGAAGGCAGCCACCCGUGGGCCAAUACUGACGCUCAUGCACGAAAGCGUGGGGGAGCAAAACAGGAUUAAUACCCUGGUAGUCCACGCCCUAAACGAUGUCAACUAGUUGUUGGGGAUUCAUUUCCUUAGUAACGUAGCUAACGCGUGAAGUUGACCGCCUGGGGAGUACGGUCGCAAGAUUAAAACUCAAA
RNAcentral lists this ribosomal RNA (560 nucleotides) under uncultured bacterium. Its description in RNAcentral is "partial 16S ribosomal RNA". It matches the Rfam family "Bacterial small subunit ribosomal RNA", at positions 355 to 905 of the family's 1533-position model. The record is from RNAcentral.